Molecule: ribosomal RNA, 253 nt
Filed under: uncultured bacterium
Lineage: Bacteria
Description: partial 16S ribosomal RNA
Rfam family: Bacterial small subunit ribosomal RNA
Source: RNAcentral
UACGUAGGGGGCAAGCGUUGUCCGGAUUUAUUGGGCGUAAAGAGCGUGCAGGCGGCUAGAUAGGUCCGUUGUGAAAACUCGAGGCUCAACCUCGAGACGCCGGUGGAAACCAUCUAGCUAGAGUCCGGAAGAGGAGAGUGGAAUUCCUGGUGUAGCGGUGAAAUGCGCAGAUAUCAGGAAGAACACCCGUGGCGAAGGCGGCUCUCUGGUACGUGACUGACGCUGAGACGCGAAAGCGUGGGGAGCGAACAGG